AUGCAUGCACUGCACUGGACCAAAGGAAAGGAUAGAGGGAGUGAGAGGAGGAUGCCGAGGCCAUGGAGACCGGUGCUGGCGUCGGCAACCAAGUGCUGCAGCUCCGAGGACGCCUUGGUGGCCGGGAACGAGCUCACGCGCUGCCGCCCGGCACGCUCCGAGUUCUCGCGCCGUCUCGCCUCCUUCCGCCGCCUUUCCUCCAUGACCAACAGCCCCGCCACGCCCAUGGACGGCAAGGACCACGAGGCCGCGGCGGAGAUGGGCGUGGGCCCCAUGCAGCUGCACUCCUUCAGCCUCAACGAACUCCGCGGCGUCACGCAUGACUUCUCCAGCGGCUACCUACUCGGGGAGGGCGGAUUCGGCACCGUCCACAAGGGCUUCGUUGACGCCGGCAUGCGACCCGGCCUUGAGCCCCAGGCAGUCGCCGUCAAGCAGCUCGACAUCGCCGGCCACCAGGGCCACAGGGAGUGGCUGGCCGAGGUGAUCUUCCUUGGGCAGUUCCGGGACCAGCACCUGGUGAAGCUACUUGGGUACUGCUGCGAGGACGAGGAGCGCCUCCUCGUCUAUGAGUUCAUGCCGCGCGGCAGCCUCGAGAACCACCUAUUCAAAAGGAUAUCCGCGACGCUACCGUGGGGCACCAGGCUCAAGGUCGCCAUCGGCGCCGCCAAGGGUCUCGCCUUCCUCCAUGGCGCCAAACAGCCCGUCAUCUACCGGGAUUUCAAGGCAUCCAACAUCCUCCUCGACUCGGAAUUCACGGCGAAGUUGUCAGACUUCGGACUGGCCAAGAUGGGUCCCGAGGGAGAGGACACGCACGUCACCACCCGCGUGAUGGGCACCCACGGCUAUGCGGCGCCCGAGUACUUGCAGACAGGCCACCUCACGAUGAAGAGCGACGUGUACAGCUUCGGUGUGGUGCUGCUGGAGCUCCUCACGGGCCGCCGGGCCAUGGAGCACGUCCACAGCCGGAGCGCGCACGCUGAGCAGACCAUCAAGCUCGUGGAGUGGACCCGGCCCUACCUCGCCAGCAGCCGCCGCCUCCGCUGCAUCAUGGACCCUAAGCUGGCGGGGCACUACUCCGUCAAGGGCGCACGCGCGGUGGCGCACCUCGCAGUGCAGUGCACCAGCGCGCAGCCCCGGGACAGGCCAAGCAUGGCCACCGUGGUCGAGGCACUCGAGCGGCUGGAGGGGCUCAAGGACAUGGCUGUCAGCAUAGGGCUCUGGCCCACCGCGCCCGUGGCCGGGAGGAGCGCGCUCUCCGCCAAAUUUCGAGCCGAGAUGAAGGGUGCCGGCAGCGGCAGCGGCGCCGUCUUGAGGCGCAGAAGCGCGUCCGCCAAGCUGUUGUGA
RNAcentral lists this ribosomal RNA (1344 nucleotides) under Triticum aestivum (bread wheat). RNAcentral's name for it is "partial small subunit ribosomal RNA". Lineage: Eukaryota; Viridiplantae; Streptophyta; Magnoliopsida; Poales; Poaceae. The record is from RNAcentral.